This is a non-coding RNA of Biomphalaria pfeifferi, 232 nucleotides long. The record is from the annotation of a GenBank genome assembly. NCBI's taxonomy places the organism in Eukaryota, Metazoa, Mollusca, Gastropoda, Planorbidae.
GAGUAAAACUAGGCUAGGUGCACCCUACCCCACUGACGCCCUAGAUGUUCUAGGCUAGGUGUACCCUACCCCACUGACGCCUUAAAUGUUCUAGGCUAGGUGUACCCUACCCCCACUGACGCCCUAGAUGUUCUAAUAUACACCAAACGUACUACUCACAUGUUGACUUAGGGUUUAAACUCAUGACCAGUAACUUAACAGUCACGCCUUGGGUGUACGACAACCUUAAUUU